CAAGUCGUGCGAGAAAGUAUCUUCGGAUAUGAGUAGAGCGGCGGACGGGUGAGUAACGCGUAGGAAUCUACCUAGUAGAAGGGGAUAGCCCGGGGAAACCCGGAUUAAUACCGUAUACCUCCUUCGGGAGAAAGAAGGCCUCUCUUUGAAGCUUUCGCUACUAGAUGAGCCUGCGUAAGAUUAGCUUGUUGGUGAGGUAAAGGCUCACCAAGGCAACGAUCUUUAGCUGGUCUGAGAGGACGAUCAGCCACAUUGGGACUGAGACACGGCCCAGACUCCUACGGGAGGCAGCAGUGGGGAAUAUUGGACAAUGGGCGCAAGCCUGAUCCAGCCAUACCGCGUGUGUGAAGAAGGCCUUCGGGUUGUAAAGCACUUUAAGCAGGGAGAAAAAGUUAUAAGUUAAUACCUUAUAGCCUUGAUGUUACCUGCAGAAUAAGCACCGGCUAAUUCCGUGCCAGCAGCCGCGGUAAUACGGAAGGUGCAAGCGUUAAUCGGAAUUACUGGGCGUAAAGCGCGCGUAGGUGGUUUGUUAAGUUGGAUGUGAAAGCCCUGGGCUCAACCUAGGAACUGCAUCCAAAACUAACUCACUAGAGUACGAUAGAGGGAGGUAGAAUUCCUAGUGUAACGGUGGAAUGCCUUGAUAUUAUGA
Molecule: ribosomal RNA, 649 nt
Filed under: uncultured marine bacterium
Lineage: Bacteria
Description: bacterial SSU rRNA
Rfam family: Bacterial small subunit ribosomal RNA
Source: RNAcentral